CCUACAUCCACCUCUAACCCUGGUUCCAUCUCCAUCAUUCUUCCUCCAUCACUCUCUCCUUCUGUUCUCUCUGUGUUGUCAUGUGUUGGAUCAGUCUGUGUUGUGGUUCUACUGGUGUUACUGGUUCUGCUGGUGAGACGAUGUGUUCACAGGAAACCUGAAGAUCAAGAAGAAACUGGAGAAGAUGACAUCAUCACUCAUGUCAUGUACAACAUCCAAACAUCCAAUCAUCAACAACAACCAGUCACACAAAGAGGAGAUAGGCGGAGGUGUGAGACGUAAAAACAGGAACCACCUCUAAAGUCUGCUGCCUGUCUGCAUCGCAAGAGUCAGCAAGAUUUUCUAAAGACACUACGUCCUUCCUCACAAGACACCAUCCCGAAACCAUUUUUUUGUUUCUUUUUUUAACUUUAUCUGUCUUCUGUUUUUAUGAUGACAAUAACUCGUGUCUCGGACAGAAAACGACCCUGCUUACACUUACUGCUGUGAUCGUGCAGCGUUGGUUAUGGCACGCGCAUUUAUUUUUUCCUCAUACUUUGUGUUGAUUAUAAUAUAAAUUUACAUUGCAUUUUGGAUUUUGCUGUAUUGUGUUAUAAGUUUUACAUAUUUAACUACUUCAUACACGGCAUCUUUUAGGAGGUAAUUUUAGUGGUAACAGAGGGACUGUUUUAUGGAGUGUAACGUAUCCUGUGUGCCAUGUGUGUCGAGGAGACGACAGAGUAAAAGGUUGAGUGCACACCG
Oreochromis niloticus (Nile tilapia) is the source of this 741-nucleotide long non-coding RNA. RefSeq lists it as uncharacterized. The transcript has 3 exons. The record is from RefSeq and is a predicted model, not a curated record. NCBI's taxonomy places the organism in Eukaryota, Metazoa, Chordata, Actinopteri, Cichliformes, Cichlidae.